This 213-nucleotide long non-coding RNA is filed under the name Capsicum annuum. RNAcentral's name for it is "long non-coding RNA (CANN_LNC015967)". Lineage: Eukaryota; Viridiplantae; Streptophyta; Magnoliopsida; Solanales; Solanaceae. The record is from RNAcentral.
AAAACCAAGUACCAAUUAACCAUUCCCAUGAAACCAUAUGUUCAAACCACCAUUAAAAUAUGAGAAACCAUAAUUAGGACAUGGGGAAACCAUAACCAACCAUUACAACCAAAACCCCCAAUAUCUAUUUCAAAACCCCCGAACCAUACCACACUAGUUAUCAUACGACCAAGACCAACCAAACCAUACCCUAUCAUACAAUUAGUACCCCCU